UACGGAAGGUGCAAGCGUUGUUCGGAAUGACUGGGCGUAAAGCGCACGUAGGUUGGUUUGUAUGUCGGAUGUGAAAUCCCCGGGCUUAACCCGGGAAGGCCAUUCGAAACUGCAAAUCUUGAAUGCUUCAGGGGUUGGUGGAAUUCUUGGUGUAGGAGUGAAAUCCGUAGAUAUCAAGAGGAACAUCGGAGGCGAAGGCGGCCAACUGGGGAUGCAUUGACACUGAGGUGCGAAAGCGUGGGGAGCAAACAGG
Molecule: ribosomal RNA, 253 nt
Filed under: uncultured bacterium
Lineage: Bacteria
Description: partial 16S ribosomal RNA
Rfam family: Bacterial small subunit ribosomal RNA
Source: RNAcentral